GUAUGACUCUCGGCAAUGGAUAUCUUGGCUCUUGCAUCGAUGAAGAGCGCAGCGAAAUGCGAUACGUGGUGUGAAUUGCAGAAUCCCGUGAACCAUCGAGUUUUUGAACGCAAGUUGCGCCCGAGGCCAAUUGGCUAAGGGCACGUCCGCCUGGGCGUCAAGC
RNAcentral lists this ribosomal RNA (163 nucleotides) under Goodyera repens. RNAcentral's name for it is "5.8S ribosomal RNA". It matches the Rfam family "5.8S ribosomal RNA". Rfam says of the family: 5.8S ribosomal RNA (5.8S rRNA) is a component of the large subunit of the eukaryotic ribosome. It is transcribed by RNA polymerase I as part of the 45S precursor that also contains 18S and 28S rRNA. RNAcentral also lists the same sequence under 2 other names. Lineage: Eukaryota; Viridiplantae; Streptophyta; Magnoliopsida; Asparagales; Orchidaceae. The record is from RNAcentral.